UACGUAGGGCGCAAGCGUUGUCCGGAAUUAUUGGGCGUAAAGGGCUCGUAGGCGGCCAACUAAGUCCGACGUGAAAUCCCCAAGCUUAACUUGGGAACUGCGUCGGAUACUGGAUGGCUUGAAUUCGGGAGAGGGAUGCAGAAUUCCAGGUGUAGCGGUGAAAUGCGUAGAUAUCUGGAGGAAUACCGGUGGCGAAGGCGGCAUCCUGGACCGACAUUGACGCUGAGGAGCGAAAGCUAGGGGAGCAAACGGG
RNAcentral lists this ribosomal RNA (253 nucleotides) under uncultured bacterium. RNAcentral describes it as "partial 16S ribosomal RNA". It matches the Rfam family "Bacterial small subunit ribosomal RNA", at positions 524 to 776 of the family's 1533-position model. The record is from RNAcentral.